RNAcentral lists this ribosomal RNA (328 nucleotides) under uncultured eukaryote. RNAcentral's name for it is "partial 18S ribosomal RNA". It matches the Rfam family "Eukaryotic small subunit ribosomal RNA", at positions 1470 to 1796 of the family's 1831-position model. The record is from RNAcentral.
CCCUUAGAUGUCCUGGGCCGCACGCGCGUUACACUGAUGCAUUCAACGAGCUUAUAACCUUGGCCGAGAGGCCUGGGCAAUCUUGUUAACGUGCAUCGUGAUAGGGAUAGAUUAUUGAAAUUAUUAAUCUUGAACGAGGAAUUCCUAGUAAACGCAGAUCAUCAAUCUGCAUUGAUUACGUCCCUGCCCUUUGUACACACCGCCCGUCGCACCUACCGAUUGGAUGGUCCGGUGAAGCCUCGGGAUUGUGGUUCUUGCCGCUUUAUUGUGGCCUGACCGCGAGAACUUGUCUAAACCUUAUCAUCUAGAGGAAGGUGAAGUCGUAACA